AGUGAGCGCUGGCGGUAGGCCUAACACAUGCAAGUCGAACGGCAGCACAGGAGAGCUUGCUCUCUGGGUGGCGAGUGGCGGACGGGUGAGGAAUACAUCGGAAUCUACUUUUUCGUGGGGGAUAACGUAGGGAAACUUACGCUAAUACCGCAUACGACCUACGGGUGAAAGCAGGGGAUCUUCGGACCUUGCGUGAUUGAAUGAGCCGAUGUCGGAUUAGCUAGUGGGCGGGGUAAAGGCCCACCAAGGAGACGAUCCGUAGCUGGGCUGAGAGGAUGAUCAGCCACACUGGAACUGAGACACGGUCCAGACUCCUACGGGAGGCAGCAGUGGGGAAUAUUGGACAAUGGGCGCAAGCCUGAUCCAGCCAUACCGCGUGGGUGAAGAAGGCCUUCGGGUUGUAAAGCCCUUUUGUUGGGAAAGAAAUCCAGCUGGUUAAUACCCGGUUGGGAUGACGGUACCCAAAGAAUAAGCACCGGCUAACUUCGUGCCAGCCGCCGCCGUAA
RNAcentral lists this ribosomal RNA (506 nucleotides) under uncultured bacterium. RNAcentral's name for it is "partial 16S ribosomal RNA". It matches the Rfam family "Bacterial small subunit ribosomal RNA", at positions 29 to 523 of the family's 1533-position model. The record is from RNAcentral.